Molecule: ribosomal RNA, 365 nt
Filed under: uncultured archaeon
Lineage: Archaea
Description: bacterial SSU rRNA
Rfam family: Archaeal small subunit ribosomal RNA
Source: RNAcentral
GGACCUGACUGCUAUCGGAUUGAUACUAAGCCAUGCGAGUCAUUGUAGUAAUACAAGGCAGACGGCUCAGUAACGCGUAGUCAACCUAACCUAUGGACGGGAAUAACCUCGGGAAACUCGGAGUAUAAUGCCCGAUAGAACAUUAUGCCUGGAAUGGUUUAUGUUUCCAAAUGAUUUAUCGCCGUAGGAUGGGACUGCGGCCUAUCAGUUUGUUGGUGAGGUAAUGGCCCACCAAGACUAUUACAGGUACGGGCUCUGAGAGGAGUAGCCCGGAGAUGGGUACUGAGACACGGACCCAGGCCCUAUGGGGCGCAGCAGGCGAGAAAACUUUGCAAUGUGCGAAAGCACGACAAGGUUAAUCCGAG